RNAcentral lists this ribosomal RNA (8437 nucleotides) under Triticum aestivum (bread wheat). Its description in RNAcentral is "partial small subunit ribosomal RNA". The record is from RNAcentral. Lineage: Eukaryota; Viridiplantae; Streptophyta; Magnoliopsida; Poales; Poaceae.
CUAGCGACACACCGGCCUCGCCACCACCCACUCGCUCGCCUUGAAUGGCCGCCGCCGCGGUCAGCUCGGGCACGGCACUGCCCAGGCCACCCGAGCCAGCCAGCGCGACCCCGUGGUAAAUACGGACGACCACCGUCCGUACCUAACCGCGCCGGCCACUCCUACCUCGCCACCGCCCGCGCUUUCCCAUCAAUGGCCGCCGCCGACGUGUUCAUCUCUGGAACCCGCGGCACUGCCCUCCCUCCCUAUAAAAAGCCACCCAAGGCCCUCGAACAGCACCAUCUCACUCUCCCUCUCCCUCAAUGACCCACCCGUUGCAGCAACACGACCAGAGGAGGUCGUCUUCUCCGAUUCCGGCGACUACUGCCGCCGCCACUGUUCGGAUGAAUCCGACGCUGUCCGACCCUCCCUCUCACAAGUUUCUCCACCACUAGCCUCCUUGAGGACCCAUUGAUCUAUCCCCGCACUCGAUUUUGCCCAGGAGCCACCAUAGGCGAAACGCCCAAUUCGUCUCCGCCGGAGCUCCUCGGGUGAGCUCGCCGCCGGCGACCCCCUCCACUCCAGCGACCAAGGAGGGUACCCACGUGUUCGCCUCAACCUCCUGAGCUCGUAGGUGGCCUCGGUUUUCCAAACGGUGCCGCGGUUCGCCGGCGCCGACCGCCGGAGCUCCGCCUCUGUUCAGCCAGAGAAGGAGGCGCGCGCAUGGACUGGUCAAACCUGACCAGUGGGCCCGGCGGGACCACUGUCAGUGACACAGCGCCGCGCCAGCUCGUCUUAAGUGGAGACGGGUUCCGUUGAAGUUGCUUUACUGCGGGGAAAGCGUAUUAUGGCGAGUGCGCCUUCGAUGUCGCAGCCCUCCCGCGCGGUCGAGCGAUUGGGCUUGGCCCAGUACCACCAGGCGGCUAUACCACGCCUAGGGCGCGUUUCUGCUCAGCCCAUCAGAGUAAUAUCUGUUCUUUUUUCUUUUCCAGCAGAUUUCAAAUAAUUCCACAAUAGCCAUUUCACAUCCGAAUUCGAUUAUUCAAAUUUCCAACUACUUCAAAAAUCAUGCUCUAUUUAUCUAGAUAGGGUGAACAUUUUUCCUAGUCCUGGUUUUUGCUGGAUCUACUAAAUAGUCCAUUUUCCUUUAAUAUUCCAGCUUAGUAAAUCCAUAGGAAAAUCAUAUGAACUCCAAAUUACUUGAUUCUUUUUCUGUUAUUUUUCAAAUUUCACCUAGUUUAUUUUAGUAUUUAUUUCAAAAUUUUACAAACAACUUUUAUGUGCUGUUUUAGAAUUAUGUGGUAAUUAUAAUAUUUUGAAAAUAGGAAAUGGAGGGGAGAUAUAAUUUUCAAAGUUUUGGAGUGCGCCUAAUCUUUCUGCAUGCUCAAGGAAAGCAUCUUGAACAAAUGAUAUGGUGAAUGCAUAGUGUUUGUUUGCAUGUAGAAUUGAAUUAUGAAUAUAUUCAACUCAUAUGAAAUUUGCGUAGUAUUGGUCAUACAUGCAUGAUUCCCCUUGAUGAUAUUCUAUCUCCAUUUUAACAUGAAGUAUGAGUGAGUAUGGUGAUUUUCAUGUACCGUAUAUGCCUGUGUUGGUCCAGGCUAAUUUGCAAGAAGAAUCAGUCACGAGAAAAGUGACCGUGAGACUGAAAUCUCGUUGUGACGAGAAUGAUCAGUGAGGGUCUGUUGAGACAUACUAGGUGGUGACCCUGUUGGGUACUGCCAAGGAAUUGUAUUGUGCUGACCAUUGCAGGGAAACUUAAACCUCCUGAGUUGACCGUAGAUCGAGUCUUGUUCCGGUAACCCCCAUACUUGAUUCGUGCUACCACAUGUCCUUGCCAAAGGUAGGGUAUGGUUCAGUAAGUUGAUAACCCCUUUCCUGCACACACCGUACAGAGAGGCCAUAGGGAAUGAUACUAUUGGCCCCAGUAGUCAUGUCACUUGGUCCGGGGGCAUGAAUGGCCGGUCUGGGACCGAAGCUGAAUGUUCAUGCUGUUGGAGGCCGUUGCAUGAGGCCUUCCCACUUAGAGUUUUACUUUAUCAUUGUUUUGGGUGAUCCUUGGCUUGAUGGAUUAAAGCUGGUAUGUGCGGGUCAGGUGUGUUUUCAUCCCAAAGACCGUAAUCGGAAUUAGUCAACGUCUCGGGGUUGACUAAAGAAGUCCUUUACUUGUGGGUAAAGAGUACACCCUCUGCAGAGUUAUAUCUAUUCGAAUAGCCGUGGCCAUGGUUAAGGACUACAGUCUAGGUUGGUCAAGUGUCGGUCUUAGUGUCAGUCUCCAGAGGAAAUAAUUAAAUUGAUCAUGGUUCGUCCAGCAGGGUAAUUACUGUCACUGCUGGUGCUGUUAUGAAUAUUAUUGUUGACAUGAAUAUUGUUGUGGACUAACCGUUUCCUCUUAUAUGCAACUAUGAGUAUCUCUUGGGAUGGCUAGUCCACCUGAAUGCUCAUGUUAUUUUCUUAUAAGCCCUUUAUGAGGCGUCGCUUCAGACACCCGACUAUAGCGUGUAUUUUCAAGACCUCUCGCGGCGUCGCUUGAGUUCUUGGGCGGUCCUGUCUCGCCCGAUUCUCUUUUAGACGCCCGUUUGGCAUUUCUCUUGGAAUUUCUCGGGCGGUCCAAUGCCCGACGUUCCAUUUCAUUUCUUUGAUUUACUAAUAACAUGACUUAUUUAUCCUUCCGCACCUCUAUACGCGUUGUGGAAGGCGCAGAACAGUCGGCUGCCAUUGGAUGACUCGGGAUGGUCCCGACCGCGCUUCAUAUCAGGCUCCGCCGCGAGGACGGCCACUCCUUUGCGCUUCACAUCCUUGGCCUUGGCUUUCUUCUCUUCUGGGUCGGCAGCUUCAAGAGCCGUGCAUAGCUCCUCGUGGAUGGUAAGCUUCUCCUUCAUCUUGACGUCGCGGAAGCCAUCGGAAAACGCCGAAAUGAUGGCCUCGUCCGUCACCUUGGGGAUCUUGAGACGAACAUUGUUGAAGCGCUGGAUGUACUUCUGCAAGGUCUCUCCAGCCUGCUGCUUGAUACGGUGCAGGUCACCUGCGGCCGGAGGGCGGUCGCGAGUGCCCUGGAAGUUGGCGAUGAAGCGGUCGCGCAUCCUAUCCCAGGAGGAGAUCGAGCCUGAGGGCAGGUUCAGGAGCCAUGGGGAACCAGUUCGCCAUGACCUUUUCGUCGCCGUUGGCCACCUCGAUGCUCAGCUUGUAGAGCUGCAAGAACUCCGCAGGGUCGGGGGUGCCGUCGUAGCGAGGAGGCAGAUCCGGCUUGAACUUGCCCGACCAGACGACGCCACGCAGCUCAGGGGUGAAGGCGCGGCAACCGGCCGUGGCCACCGGGCCCUGUCGUGGAGGCGGAGCUUUAUCUUGGUGUCCCCGCGCUGCCACGGCAAGUGGCGCGUGGCCCCGCUGUGCCAAGCGAUCCUGACAUGGCGGUGCUGGGAGCGGUGGAGCGUUUUCUUGCGGUCGGGGUACUUCUUGGCAGCUUCCUUCUUCCCGCGCGGGUGCCCGGCGCGGCGGGUCGUACCGAGGGGCCGCGCGUCUUGGCGCCAGAGCGCCGUCUUGGUGCAGAGGUGGCGGAGGUGCUCCGUGAGCUACGUCGCCCGCAGUUGGCGGAGGGCGAGGCAUCGAGAGGGAUGGCGUGGGGGAGCCCCCAGUGGCGCUGACGAGCUCGGCGAUGCGGUCCAACCAGUCCUCGUAGAGGUCGUCGACCGGGCGGUAGCGCAGGAGCUCGCGUGCCAUGAGCAGCGCGGCCUGCGCGUCUAUGGGAGCGCGGCGAGCGUGAGACGACGAGCCGGCUGGGGUCAGCGAUGGAGUGGCGGUGCGGCCAUCCCGCUGCACGGAGGGGUGCAGAGAGGAUGCUUGCUGCUCAUUUCCCGCCGGACCGAUGGCGGCGUUGGCGGCGGGUGACGGAGAAUGACAGGGAGGCCCGCCGACAGGGGCUGUCUGAGCGACACGGGUGGCGAGAGGACCUUUUCGGCAAGGGGACCGACCUUCGUCUCGGUAGCAGAAACAUCGGCGCCCGAUGGAAACCUCUUGAAGCCAUCAGAGAGGUUGAGGUCCCGGUGGCGGUAAGAAAAGUUGCUCAAGACCAGGAAGAGGGCAUCGCGAGCAAGCUUCUGGGACUUGUUCUCAAAGCAACUGCCCAGUCGUCCUCCUACAUCUUCAACCCUUUGAUCAGGCCUUCAAAGUAGAGUGUUAGCUUGACGAUUGGGACCUCAUGCCUGCCAACGGAAAAGUCCCAACUCUUCAUGUCCAUCGUUGUGAUCUGGGUAGUGAGGCGCUCAGCGAUGUCAACCAAAUUCUUAAUCCAGAGGUCACGCUGCUCGAUUUGAUUCACCAGUUUGUCCUCUGCAUCUUUUUGGAGAGUUCUUGCAUUGUCCAAGUCCUUCAUCGGCAACUUCUCGCGGACGGCGGCAGAUUUGAUCUCACUCACCAAGGUGCCAAGCCGUGCCCUCAUAUCAGUAAUGGUGUUGUUGGCAGUGUCAAGGUCCUGGCUCUUGGAGGAAAGCUGCGAUCGCACCUCAUUCAGGGCAGCCUCUCCCUUCUGCGCUUGCUCUUUGAGGGCCAUGACUUCCUUGUUGCUCCCGGCAAGGUCCUCCGUCAGCUUGGCCACAUGUUGAUCAUGGUCACAUUUGGCAACAGAUGCAUAGGCAAGCUCAUCGGUAACCUUCUUCAACUGAGUAGUAGAGUCAAGGGUGAGCGUGUCAAGAGCCACCUUGUUAUUAUCCUCUAAGUAUUUGGUGCACUGCUAGACAAGGGCCUCCAGUUCUUCAUCCUUGCCGCAGAGGGUAGCUUCAAGGUUCCCUUCCCGGGAAGAGAUGUCCUUCUCCUUGGCAUUCAGAAGCGCUUCGCGCUCCGCCAAACGGACCUCCCUGGAAGCGAUGUCCUCCUUGGCCAUGGUUAUCACUUCAUGUUUCCGUUGAAGGGAUUGGAACUGCUUGUUGUGCCAUUCACGCAGUUUGCUGCCUUUGUCCCUGAACUUAUGAUCCAUGAGGCCAACAGAGUCACGUUGUGUCGGAUUACGGGUUCCGGCAAAACCCUUGAGGUUCGAACACUGGGGUGUGCACGAAGAUCUCUCCUCCCUCUAGCUCGCACGCAUCAUGAUCUCACGGCCUAGCUUGACGAACCCAAAGAACAAGGGGACACAAGGUUUAUACUGGUUCGGGCCACCGUUGUGGUGUAAUACCCUACUCCAGUGUGGUGUGGUGGAUUGCCUCUUGGGCUGAGGAUGAACAGUUACAAGGGAAGAAUAGCCUCCUGAGGAGAGGUGCUCUUGUGCUUGGUGAGCUUGUGGAUGAGGAUGAUCUGAAUCCGUUCGAGUUCUCUCCCAGGUCAGUUGCCAGCUACGGUUGUGGCUAGCCCUAUUUAUAGAGGCCCUGGUCCUCUUCCCAAUAUUGAGCGGGAAGGGAUCCCACAACGGCCAAAUUUAAAGGGGGACAACUAGUACAAGUUAUCCUCACAAAAGUAGUCUUCGCCUGCCAAAGGCUCUGGUGGUGACGCCGUCUUGGGCUCCACGAUGACCUCCAUCCUGCCGUCCUUCUGGUCUUGGUCUUGUUGCACCGAUAUGGAAACCUUUGCUUGAUGCCUCGGGACUCCUCGCCUGCGCUUGCCCCUUUAGCACCAAAGAGGAAACAAGGACACUGUGCGCGCUGGCGCCCUCUUGGCGCCCACCUGGCAUUGGUCGUCAUGGCUUAUGUCAUAGGAACCUCGCGAGGUUCCCCUUGCCUUAAUCUCUCCGCCCCUCGUGAGCCAGCCUGGUGAGGCUGCCCCCGAGGAGGUCUUGUGUCAUCCGCCUCGCGAGGCUUGGCCCCUCGCGAGGGUCUUGAGUGUUUGCUGGUGAAGAUGGACUGUACGGGGCCGCUGGUGGAGCCACGCCGUGGGCCGCAGGCAGGCAACUCUGGGGACCCCCGUUCCCAGAACGCCGACACGUUGCUCCUUCAUCGUCUGCCACUUCAGGAUGUAUCUGCUCUGCACGUCCUUGAUCCCUGCAGCCAUGGAUUUAAAGAUGGACAAGUCCAUGGCCACUGCUACCUCUUGAGCAUGCGUUGGUUUUCCCUUGAAGAGGAAAGGGUGAUGCAGCAAAGUAGCAUAAGUAUUUCCCUCAGUUUUUGAGAACCAAGGUAUCAAUCCAGUAGGAGACUACACGCAAAUCCAUAGUACCUGCACAAACAAUCAAGAACCUUGCAACCAACGUGAUAAAGGGGUUGUCAAUCCCUUCACGGCCACUUGCAAAAGUGAGAUCUGAUAAAGAUAAUAAGAUAAAUAUUUUUGGUAUUUUUGUUGUAUAGAUUGAAAAGUAAAGAUUGCAAAAUAAACGGCGACAGAAAUAGCUAGUUGGCGGGAGAUUAAUGUGAUCGAAGAUAGACCCCGGGGCCAUAGGUUUCACUAGUGGCUUCUCUCAAGAUAGCAAAUUCUACGGUGGGUGAACAAAUUACUGUCGAGCAAUUGAUAGAAAAGCACAUAGUUAUGAGAAUAUCUAGGCAUGAUCAUGAAGAUAGGCAUCACGUCCGUGACAAGUAGACCGAAACAAUUCUGCAUCUACUACUAUUACUCCACACAUCGACCACUAUCCAGCAUGCAUCUAGAGUAUUAAGUUCAUAAGAAUAGAGUAAUGCAUUAGGCAAGAUGACAUGAUGUAGAGGGAUAAACUCAAGCAAUAUGAUAUAAACCCCAUCUUUUUAUCCUCGAUGGCAACAAUACAAUACGUGCCUUGCUGCCCCUGCUGUCACUGGGAAAGGACACCGCAAGAUUGAACCCAAAGCUAAGCACUUCUCCCAUGGCAAGAAAGAUCAAUCUAGUAGGCCAAACCAAACUGAUAAUUCGAAGAGGCUUGCAAAGAUAUCAAAUCAUGCAUAUAAGAAUUCAGAGAAGAAUCAAAUAUUGUUCAUAGAUAAUCUUGAUCAUAAACCCACAAUUCAUCGGAUCUCGACAAACACACCGCGAAAAGUAUUACAUCGAAUAGAUCUCCAAGAGAAUUGACGAGAACUUUGUAUUGAGAUCUAAAGAGAGAGAAGAAGCCAUCUAGGUAAUAACUAUGGACCCGAAGGUCUGUGGUAAACUACUCACGCAUCAUCGAGAGGCCAUGGUGUUGAUGUAGAAGCCCUCCGUGAUCGAUUCCCCCUUCAGCGGAGCGCCGGAAAAGGCCCCAAGAUGGGAUCUCACGGGUACAGAAGGUUGAGGCGGUGGAAAUAGGGUUUCGUGGUGCUCCUGGAUGUUUUCAGGGUAUAUGAGUAUAUAUAGGCAAAAGAAGUAGGUCGGUGGAGCUACGAGGGGCCCACGAGGGUGGGGGCACGCCUACCCCCUGGGCGCGCCCUCCUACCUCGUGGCCACCUCGUGGCUUCCUUGACGUCCACUCCAAGUCUCCCGGAUUGCGUUUGUUCCAAAAACGAUCCUCGCAAAGGUUUCAUUCCAUUUGGAUUCUCUUUGAUAUUCCUUUUCCGCGGAACACUGAAAUAGGCAAAGAAAACAACAAUUUGCACUGGGCCUUCGGUUAGUAGGUUAGUCCCAAAAAUAAUAUAAAAGUGCAAAUUGAAGCCCAUUAAACAUCCAAAACAGAUAAUAUAAUAGCAUGGAACAAUAAAAAAUUAUAGAUACGUUGGAGACGUAUCAAGCAUCCCCAAGCUUAAUUCCUGCUCGUCCUCGAGUAGGUAAAUGAUAAAAACAGAAUUUUUGAUGUGGAAUGCUACCUAACAUAAUUUUCUAUGUAAUUCUCUUUAUUGUGGCAUGAAUGUUCAGAUCCGAAAGAUUCAAGAUAAAAGUUUAGUAUUGACAUAAAAAUAAUAAUACUUCAAGCAUACUAACUAAGCAAUUAUGUCUUCUCAAAAUAACAUGCCAAAAGAAAGCUCAUCCCUACAAAAUCAUAUAGUUUGGUCAUGCUUCAUUUUCGUCACACAAAAAUGCUCUCAUCAUGCACAACCCCGAUGACAAGCCAAGCAAUUGUUUCAUACUUUAGUAUUUCUCAAACCUUUUCAACUUUCACGCAAUACAUGAGCGUGAGCCAUGGACAUAGCACUAUGGGUGGAAUAUAAUAUAAUGACGGGGGUUGUGUGGAGAAGACAAAAAAGGAGAAAGUCUCACAUUGACGCGGAUAAUCAACAGGCUUGGUAGAUGCCCAUCAAUUGAUGUCAAUGCAAGGAGUAGGGAUUGCCAUGCAGCGGAUGCACUAGAGCUAUAAAUGUAUGAAAGCUCAACAAAAGAAACUAAGUGGGUGUGCAUCCAACUUGCUUGCUCACGAAGACCUAGGGCAUUUGAGGAAGCCCAUUGUUGGAAUAUACAAGCCAAGUUCUAUAAUGAAAAAUUCCCACUAGUAUAUGAAAGUGAAAAAAUAAGAGACUCUCUAUCAUAAGAUCAUGGUGCUACUUUGAAGCACAAGUGUGGAAAAAGGAUAGUAUCAUUGUCCCUUCUUUUUCCUUUUUGGGCCUUUUUUGGCCUUUCUUUUAUUUCCUUUUUUUAUUUGGCCUUUCCUUUUUUUGGCCUUUCC